This 263-nucleotide signal recognition particle RNA is filed under the name Chloroflexota bacterium. Its description in RNAcentral is "Chloroflexi bacterium signal recognition particle sRNA large type". It matches the Rfam family "Bacterial large signal recognition particle RNA". Rfam says of the family: The signal recognition particle (SRP) is a universally conserved ribonucleoprotein involved in the co-translational targeting of proteins to membranes. Archaeal SRP consists of a 7S RNA and homologues of the eukaryotic SRP19 and SRP54 proteins. Lineage: Bacteria; Bacillati; Chloroflexota. The record is from RNAcentral.
UCGUGCUAGGCGGGGAGUUAGCGGUGCCUUGAACUCGCAAUCCGCUCAGCGAGGCUGAAUUCCUGCUAAAAGGUUAUAUCUUGAGACCUCUAUUAUUUGAAUUUGGUGUUGAGAUCUGGGUCCUACGCGGCGGAAACCUGCGAACCCCGUCAGAUCUGAAAAGAAGCAGCGGUAAGUAGUCAUUUCCGGGUGCCGUAGGAUAGCCCCGAUCGAGUCAAAUCCAUCUAAUAAGUUNAAGGUGAGAUCGAUUAGCAGGUGCACGA